AGAGUUUGAUCCUGGCUCAGAUUGAACGCUGGCGGCAGGCCUAACACAUGCAAGUCGAGCGGUAGAGAGAAACUUGCUUCUCUUGAGAGCGGCGGACGGGUGAGUAAAGCCUAGGAAUCUGCCUGGUAGUGGGGGAUAACGUUCGGAAACGGACGCUAAUACCGCAUACGUCCUACGGGAGAAAGCAGGGGACCUUCGGGCCUUGGCGCUAUCAGAUGAGCCUAGGUCGGAUUAGCUAGUUGGUGAGGUAAUGGCUCACCAAGGCGACGAUCCGUAACUGGUCUGAGAGGAUGAUCAGUCACACUGGAACUGAGACACGGUCCAGACUCCUACGGGAGGCAGCAGUGGGGAAUAUUGGACAAUGGGCGAAAGCCUGAUCCAGCCAUGCCGCGUGUGUGAAGAAGGUCUUCGGAUUGUAAAGCACUUUAAGUUGGGAGGAAGGGCAUUAACCUAAUACGUUAGUGUUUUGACGUUACCGACAGAAUAAGCACCGGCUAACUCUGUGCCAGCAGCCGCGGUAAUACAGAGGGUGCAAGCGUUAAUCGGAAUUACUGGGCGUAAAGCGCGCGUAGGUGGUUUGUUAAGUUGGAUGUGAAAUCCCCGGGCUCAACCUGGGAACUGCAUUCAAAACUGACUGACUAGAGUAUGGUAGAGGGUGGUGGAAUUUCCUGUGUAGCGGUGAAAUGCGUANAUAU
This 695-nucleotide ribosomal RNA is filed under the name uncultured bacterium. RNAcentral describes it as "bacterial SSU rRNA". It matches the Rfam family "Bacterial small subunit ribosomal RNA", at positions 8 to 697 of the family's 1533-position model. The record is from RNAcentral.